GAUGAACGCUAGCUACAGGCUUAACACAUGCAAGUCGCGGGGCAGCAUGGGGGUUGCUUGCAAUCCCCGAUGGCGACCGGCGCACGGGUGAGUAACGCGUAUUCAACCUGCCCUUCACCACGGGAUAACCCGGCGAAAGUCGGACUAAUACCGUAUGUUGUCCAUUGACGGCAUCCGAUUUGGACGAAAGGCUUGGCGGUGAGGGAUGGGGAUGCGUCCGAUUAGCCAGGCGGCGGGGUAACGGCCCACCGUGGCUACGAUCGGUAGGGGUUCUGAGAGGAAGGUCCCCCACACUGGAACUGAGACACGGUCCAGACUCCUACGGGAGGCAGCAGUGAGGAAUAUUGGUCAAUGGGCGUAAGCCUGAACCAGCCAAGUAGCGUGCAGGAUGACGGCCCUAUGGGUUGUAAACUGCUUUUAUGCGGGGAUAAAGUGGCCCACGUGUGGGCUUUUGCAGGUACCGCAUGAAUAAGGACCGGCUAAUUCCGUG
RNAcentral lists this ribosomal RNA (490 nucleotides) under uncultured bacterium. RNAcentral describes it as "partial 16S ribosomal RNA". It matches the Rfam family "Bacterial small subunit ribosomal RNA", at positions 28 to 507 of the family's 1533-position model. The record is from RNAcentral.